This 1550-nucleotide long non-coding RNA is filed under the name Homo sapiens (human). RNAcentral describes it as "long intergenic non-protein coding RNA 3125". The record is from RNAcentral. Lineage: Eukaryota; Metazoa; Chordata; Mammalia; Primates; Hominidae.
GCUGCAAAUACCAAAAGCUGUCCUCAUUGAGUCAUCCCUCCCAGAGCAGGAAGAGCAGAGGUUCUGGGAAACAACCCCAAGGAGAGAGACAGGGCAUUUAUAAAACAGCAUGUAAGCAUCUCUGCAGUUGCUGUCCCCAGAGCCCACUUCCUGGAUAUUGCCAGCUGCCUGGACCAACCUUUCCGAAAGAUCAGCCAGGUCACAGUGAGGGUCAAAGGCGGGCGAGCAUUCACCAAGUGUUGUUGUUAAAGAAAAAAAGAAAGAAAAAGAAACCAGGAUUGUACCUGAGGUCAGGCAGACAGUGCUCAACUCAGCACUGGGAAGAUUGCUAGAAGCCUUGGGCCUAUCUAGGAAGACUGGGCCAACAUGCGAUCCCCUCUGCAAGGUGGAGGCCAUGCACCUGCCUCCUGCUCCUGAGCUCCGGUAUCCUCACUGUGACCCAGGCCCCACUGCAGCAAAGAGACACUGGGAAUUAGCCCUUCUGUCCCCUCCUUGCCAGAAGGUACCAGCGAAGAGGGCAAGAACACAGCACUACUUCCUUGGAUACUGUUUCCCUCCUCAGAGGGGUUUUCUGAGCUGCCCUGGGUCCUGUGAGGAAGAUCUCCCCUUCCUGUAAAGACACCAGUCCUACUGGAUCAGGGCCCACCCGUGUGACUUCACUUUUACUUGAGUACCUCUCACAGACCCUAACUCCAAAUCAGGUCACUUGCUGAGGUACUGCAUGUGAAGACUUUGACAUUUGAAUUUUGAGGGGGCCACCGUUUAACCUGAACCACCAAGGACAGAGCCAAAGACCCUGGGUGACAGGCCCAGAACAGGACCUGGUGGAGGCUCUUCUUUAGGGGAGAGAGGGAAAUGGGAGCCACCACUGGCAGAGCCUGAAGGCAGGGCAGCCAGAAAGAAGCUGUGGGAGUCCCCACCAUGGAAGACCCUGCCGAGCAUCCUGUGUCUCCUGAAGCAGACCCUGACAUGAGGACUGGGGGCACGUGUUUAUUAAGGGCGAUCCCCGGAAGGAGGAGAUAACCAGGCAGAAGUCCUAGCAGAGUAUGCCCACGCUGGUUAGUGCUGCUGCAAAGAUGAGCCGAAGACCAUGAGAGACCUCCAGGUGGUCCUUCUGGGGAGAAGAAAUGGGUUUUGGCCCCAAAUCCUUCUGCUGCAUUUUUCCCCUAUCCCUGGGAAGCCAUGAGACCUCAAACCUGUGUUCCCAAGGAGGCGAGCUGCUGUUCCCAGGUGAUGAUAUGAUGUGCUUGGGGAAAGUAAGUGGCUGCCAGACAUGGCUGAGAGCUGUUGUCACUGCCGUCAAGUGCAUGUCUCCAAGCCAUAUCACACGGCGUCCCUCGAUGUGAGGCCACAUGGCAAGUGGGCCGUGGAUCUCCCUCUGCCCUUUGCAAGCACGUAAGACAGCAGAUUUUGCAGAUACCUUGUGGCGCAGGGGAAUUUCCUUUGGCCAGGUCUGAAGAAAUAAAGCAGCAGGCACCGAGAACAAAGCCAAGGCUUUCAAAAGACAAGGAGCCAAAAAACUUACUCAAAAUAAAAGUAGUUUUAAAAUG